CGACGUGAGUAACCUGCCUUGGAGUGGGGAAUAACACAUCGAAAGAUGUGCUAAUACCGCAUAAUGCAGUUGGGCCGCAUGGCUCUGGCUGCCAAAGAUUUAUCGCUCUGAGAUGGACUCGCGUCUGAUUAGCUGGUUGGCGGGGUAACGGCCCACCAAGGCGACGAUCAGUAGCCGGACUGAGAGGUUGACCGGCCACAUUGGGACUGAGACACGGCCCAGACUCCUACGGGAGGCAGCAG
RNAcentral lists this ribosomal RNA (242 nucleotides) under uncultured bacterium. RNAcentral's name for it is "partial 16S ribosomal RNA". It matches the Rfam family "Bacterial small subunit ribosomal RNA", at positions 113 to 354 of the family's 1533-position model. The record is from RNAcentral.